CGCAAGGAAAAGGCGAUAGAGAACAA
RNAcentral lists this small nuclear RNA (26 nucleotides) under Arabidopsis thaliana (thale cress). Its description in RNAcentral is "snRNA_14333". The record is from RNAcentral. Lineage: Eukaryota; Viridiplantae; Streptophyta; Magnoliopsida; Brassicales; Brassicaceae.